RNAcentral lists this non-coding RNA (48 nucleotides) under Schistosoma curassoni. The record is from RNAcentral. Lineage: Eukaryota; Metazoa; Platyhelminthes; Trematoda; Strigeidida; Schistosomatidae.
AUCCGGUUGACAAGUCCCAAAUAGGACGAAACGCGCGUCACGCUGGAU